GGAACGAGGAAUGAAGUUCGGGCAGUUGUGAGAUUUCUCAGGCCAAAUCAUGUAAUCUUGGGACUAAUCCCGAGGAUGACGGGCCGAGAUCAAGGAAAGAGAAGCUUAAGAAGAUGGAUCUCGGGUACAUCUCGAAGCUUUCUCGAUCAAGUUCAAGAACAUAGUAGUUUCUCGAUCGAGUUCAAGAACAUAGUAGUGUUUGAGAUGGAACUCAAGUCAGAAGAGAAGAAUCUCGGCCCAAAUAGGCCCCGGGAUUGCCUGAGAUCCCGCCAUACUUCUUUUUUUUUUUCUUUUAAAAGUUUGUUGAACCGGUUUAGUCUAUCACUUUAAAUAACUGCUGAACCAACGGUUCGCGAAUUUUUUUUUCCCUUCAUCGUAUUGGUGCGCUAAUCAAACCCACUAAACGGAGGUGCCGCUGAGCUUGAAGUUGACGUUAGACGCACCACCCGGGCUUCAGAUACGGAGGUGGACGGUAGAGGCUCCAACUCCCACAAACCGACCACCACCUCCAAAAGAGACCACUGGCGGUAUCGUCAGAGACAGCAGCGGCUCUGGUAUGUAGAGGCGGCGGUGAAUGCCUGUUGAGCAAAAACAAGAUAUGAUGAGCUCGGUUAUGAAGAAGAUGAAGAAUAGAUGGAAAGAAUGAAAAAUAAAAGAAGACAAACAACUGAAAAUAAGGUAUCAUAAGGACAGGGAAACCCAAAAUGUUCAAAGCAAUGAAGAAAGUUGCUUAAAAAAAAGAAGCAAAAACAAAGAAAGACUCCAAAACAACACCAACAUCAUGCUCAAACCUUCAACUUAGAACUUACAUCUCCAUCUCAAACUGAUCAUUCCCAACCUUGAUCUUGGAACUUGCCUUUAGAAUAGUGAAUAUGGCCUUGUUAUGUUGACAAUGAAUUGCAUAUUUUGAAACUUGCUUUUAGUCUUGAAAAUUUUGUUUAUCGUGAAAGUGAAAUACAUUUUGGUCGAAAAAAAAUGUAAAAAUAUGUAAACUUUAAAGACAAUGAAUGUUGAUUUUUCGUGUGUUAAAAUUUUCAAGGAUAUGGUGCA
Cucumis sativus (cucumber) is the source of this 1050-nucleotide long non-coding RNA. RefSeq lists it as uncharacterized. Lineage: Eukaryota; Viridiplantae; Streptophyta; Magnoliopsida; Cucurbitales; Cucurbitaceae. The transcript is spliced from 3 exons. The record is from RefSeq and is a predicted model, not a curated record.